RNAcentral lists this ribosomal RNA (497 nucleotides) under uncultured bacterium. RNAcentral's name for it is "partial 16S ribosomal RNA". It matches the Rfam family "Bacterial small subunit ribosomal RNA", at positions 28 to 507 of the family's 1533-position model. The record is from RNAcentral.
GAUGAACGCUGGCGGCGUGCCUAAUACAUGCAAGUCGAGCGAACAGACGAGGAGCUUGCUCCUCUGACGUUAGCGGCGGACGGGUGAGUAACACGUGGAUAACCUACCUAUAAGACUGGGAUAACUUCGGGAAACCGGAGCUAAUACCGGAUAAUAUAUUGAACCGCAUGGUUCAAUAGUGAAAGACGGUUUUGCUGUCACUUAUAGAUGGAUCCGCGCCGCAUUAGCUAGUUGGUAAGGUAACGGCUUACCAAGGCGACGAUGCGUAGCCGACCUGAGAGGGUGAUCGGCCACACGGGAACUGAGACACGGUCCAGACUCCUACGGGAGGCAGCAGUAGGGAAUCUUCCGCAAUGGGCGAAAGCUUGACGGAGCAACGCCGCGUGAGUGAUGAAGGUCUUCGGAUCGUAAAACUCUGUUAUUAGGGAAGAACAAAUGUGUAAGUAACUAUGCACGUCUUGACGGUACCUAAUCAGAAAGCCACGGCUAACUACGUG